CGCUUCCAGGAAAAGUCUCUAAGCUUCAGUUACACAGGAAUCGUACCCGAAACCGACACAGGUGGUCAGGUCGAGUAGACCAAGGCGCUUGAGAGAACUCUGCUGAAGGAACUAGGCAAAAUGGUACCGUAACUUCGGGAGAAGGUACGCUGUUGUUGGUGAUGGAACUCGCUUCCUGAGCUGACGACAGCCGCAGAAACCAGGCCGCUGCAACUGUUUAUUAAAAACAUAGCACUCUGCAAACACGAAAGUGGACGUAUAGGGUGUGAUGCCUGCCCGGUGCUGGAAGGUUAAUUGAUGGGGUUAGCGUAAGCGAAGCUCUUGAUCGAAGCCCCAGUAAACGGCGGCCGUAACAAUAACGGUCCUAAGGUAGCGAAAUUCCUUGUCGGGUAAGUUCCGACCUGCACGAAUGGCAUAAUGAUGGCGGCGCUGUCUCCAGCAGAGGCUCAGUGAAAUCGAAAUCGCUGUGAAGAUGCAGUGUACCCGCGGCUAGACGGAAGGACCCCGUGAACCUUUACUGCAGCUUGACACUGAACUUUGACCUUACUUGUGUAGGAUAGGUGGGAGGCUUUGAAGCUGGAACGCUAGUUCCAGUGGAGCCGUCCUUGAAAUACCACCCUGGUAAUGUUGAGGUUCUAACUCUGUCCCGUGAUCCGGGACGAGGACCGUGUCUGGUGGGUAGUUUGACUGGGGCGGUCUCCUCCUAAAGAGUAACGGAGGAGUACGAAGGUGCGCUCAGCGUGGUCGGAAAUCACGCGUAGAGUAUAAAGGCAAAAGCGCGCUUAACUGCGAGACCCACAAGUCGAGCAGGUACGAAAGUAGGUCUUAGUGAUCCGGUGGUUCUGUAUGGAAGGGCCAUCGCUCAACGGAUAAAAGGUACUCUGGGGAUAACAGGCUGAUACCGCCCAAGAGUUCAUAUCGACGGCGGUGUUUGGCACCUCGAUGUCGGCUCAUCCCAUCCUGGGGCUGAAGCAGGUCCCAAGGGUAUGGCUGUUCGCCAUUUAAAGAGGUACGCGAGCUGGGUUUAGAACGUCGUGAGACAGUUCGGUCCCUAUCUACCGUGGGCGCUGGAAAUUUGAGAGGAUCUGCUCCUAGUACGAGAGGACCAGAGUGGACGAACCUCUGGUGUACCGGCUGUGACGCCAGUCGCAUCGCCGGGUAGCUAUGUUCGGAAGGGAUAACCGCUGAAAGCAUCUAAGCGGGAAGCCUACCUCAAGAUAAGAUUUCCCUAGGACUUUAUGUCCUCUAAAGAGCCGUUCGAGACUAGGACGUUGAUAGGUUGGAUGUGGAAGCAUAGUGAUAUGUGAAGCUGACCAAUACUAAUUGCUCGUGAGGCUUGACU
RNAcentral lists this ribosomal RNA (1342 nucleotides) under metagenome. RNAcentral's name for it is "bacterial LSU rRNA". It matches the Rfam family "Bacterial large subunit ribosomal RNA", at positions 1603 to 2925 of the family's 2925-position model. The record is from RNAcentral.